This 629-nucleotide long non-coding RNA is filed under the name Setaria viridis. Its description in RNAcentral is "long non-coding RNA (SVIR_LNC008839)". The record is from RNAcentral. Lineage: Eukaryota; Viridiplantae; Streptophyta; Magnoliopsida; Poales; Poaceae.
GAAAUACUACAUCACCUUAGCAGGAACUCUCUUCUUGGGAGGCUACCCCUUGACAUCACCAAGAUCUUCUCGCUUCAUCUUAUAUUGCAUCACGCCGCACAUAGAAUAAGCAUCCAAUUUCUCGUAUUCAUCAUCACGAUAGAGGAUACAGUCAUUAGAACAUGCAUGUAUCUUCUGAACCUCCAAUCCAGAGGGCAAACAACCUAUUUUGCUUCAUAUAUUGUGGAUGGCAAUUCAUUAUUCUUGGGAAGCAUAUUCUUUACAAUUUUCAAUAUCCCCUAAAAUGCCUUAUUGGACAUACCAUUUUUUAUCUUCCAUUGCACCAUUUCCAGUGUACUACCCAGCUUUAAUUAUUAUGCCCCCGCUUGCAAUGUGGGUACAAUAAUUUUUUUAGUCAUCUAUCAUAUGCUGCAACUUUCCUGAUUCCUUCUUCAUUAGCCUCAUCCAUUGUAGUAUGCCCCCGCUUGCAAUCUUUUUGUGCAUCCAGUAGCACCUGACCAAGAUCAUCAAUAGGGCCGUCUUCUGCAAACUCUUCUUCAUUAGCCUCAUCCAUUGUAGUAUCGGCAAAAGCUUAGCCUGCAACCCAGUCCAGAAUGUUGUUAUCAUCCUCCCCUUCUUCGUCAUCUUCC